This 114-nucleotide ribosomal RNA is filed under the name Saprospiraceae bacterium. Lineage: Bacteria; Pseudomonadati; Bacteroidota; Saprospiria; Saprospirales; Saprospiraceae. The record is from RNAcentral.
GCCGGUGGCUAUAGCGAGGGGGUUCCACCUCUUCCCAUUCCGAACAGAGAAGUUAAGCCCCUCCGCGCUGAUGGUACUGCCCUUCGUGGGUGGGAGAGUAAGUCGCUGCCGGCU